Molecule: ribosomal RNA, 403 nt
Filed under: uncultured bacterium
Lineage: Bacteria
Description: bacterial SSU rRNA
Rfam family: Bacterial small subunit ribosomal RNA
Source: RNAcentral
GAUACUUUAUUACAGUUUCUAGUGGCGACGGUGAGUACACGUUGGAACCUGCCCCAAAGUGAGGAAUAACGCCACCGAAAGGUGGUCUAGUACUUCAUAAUAUCCAUCUCGUAUGGAUUAAAGCUUUAUGCGCUUUGGGAGGGGCCUGCGUAACAUUAGCUUGUUGGUGAGGUAAAAGCUCACCAAGGCUUCGAUGUUUAACUGGUUUGAGAGGAUGACCAGUCACACUGGGACUGAGAUACGGCCCAGACUCCUACGGGAGGCAGCAGUAAGGAAUCUUCCACAAUGGGGCAACCCUGAUGGAGCAAUACCGCGUGCAGGAUGAAGCGUUUCGGCGUGUAAACUGCUUUUAUCACCGAAGAUUAUGACUGUAGGUGAAGAAUAAGGACCGGCUAACUACGUG